AAUAGAUACCCAGGUAGUCCACGCCGUAAACGAUGAGUGCUAAGUGUUAGGGGGGUUUCCGCCCCUUAGUGCUGCAGCUAACGCAUUAAGCACUCCGCCUGGGGAGUACGGUCGCAAGACUGAAACUCAAAGGAAUUGACGGGGGCCCGCACAAGCGGUGGAGCAUGUGGUUUAAUUCGAAGCAACGCGAAGAACCUUACCAGGUCUUGACAUCCCACUGACCGCUAUGGAGACAUAGUUUUCCCUUCGGGGACAGUGGUGACAGGUGGUGCAUGGUUGUCGUCAGCUCGUGUCGUGAGAUGUUGGGUUAAGUCCCGCAACGAGCGCAACCCUUGAUCUUAGUUGCCAUCAUUUAGUUGGGCACUCUAAGGUGACUGCCGGUGACAAACCGGAGGAAGGUGGGGAUGACGUCAAAUCAUCAUGCCCCUUAUGACCUGGGCUACACACAUGCUACAAUGGACGGUACAAACGGUUGCCAACCCGCGAGGGGGAGCUAAUCCGAUAAAACCGUUCUCAGUUCGGAUUGUAGGCUGCAACUCGCCUA
This 544-nucleotide ribosomal RNA is filed under the name uncultured bacterium. RNAcentral's name for it is "bacterial SSU rRNA". It matches the Rfam family "Bacterial small subunit ribosomal RNA", at positions 777 to 1318 of the family's 1533-position model. The record is from RNAcentral.